GCGGCCGCCGCAUCAGGUGACAGCCCGGAAGCAGCGGAAGCGGAUGAGGGUAGCGCGGCAGCGGCCCUGGGGGGCGGCACGGAGCUGCGGGAGCCUCGGCCUCCUCCGGGCCGCCUGCGCGGCCCUCAUGCGGCGCCCUCGCUGACACCUGAAACCCGCUGCUCGCCGUCCUCCUGGGGACCGCGGGGUUCGCCGGGCCCGCCGCCCUUGGCGGUUGAAGUCGGCGGCUUGCGGGCCCGCGGCGGCCGCCCAUGGAGAAGGCCGGGCGGGGAGGCGAUGGCGCCCCCCGGGGGCCCGUACUGCACAUCGUGGUGGUCGGCUUUCAUCACAAGAAGGGCUGCCAGGUUGAAUUCUCUUACCCGCCCCUGAUUCCAGGAGAUGGUCAUGACAGCCCCACUUUACCUGAAGAAUGGAAGUAUUUGCCCUUCCUUGCCUUACCAGAUGGCGCACACAACUACCAGGAAGAUACUGUCUUUUUUCACUUGCCACCCAGAAAUGGAAAUGGAGCCACAGUAUAUGGUAUCUCCUGCUAUCGACAAAUUGAAGCCAAGGCAUUGAAAGUACGGCAAGCAGAUAUCACCAGAGAGACCGUUCAGAAAAGUGUCUGUGUUCUAAGCAAGUUGCCUCUCUAUGGCUUACUUCAAGCAAAACUUCAGCUCAUUACACAUGCAUAUUUUGAAGAGAAGGAUUUUUCCCAAAUUUCCAUCCUAAAGGAGCUUUAUGAGCAUAUGAAUAGUUCCUUGGGAGGAACUUCAUUAGAAGGAUCCCAAGUAUAUCUUGGUCUGUCUCCUCGAGAUCUUGUGCUUCAUUUUCGACACAAGGUCUUAAUCCUGUUUAAACUAAUUCUUCUUGAAAAAAAGGUUCUCUUUUAUAUUUCUCCAGUGAAUAAAUUGGUGGGUGCCCUGAUGACUGUGUUAUCCCUUUUUCCAGGCAUGAUUGAACAUGGUCUCAGUGACUGUUCUCAGUACAGACCCCGAAAGAGUAUGUCUGAAGAUGCUGGGCUUCAUGAAAGUAAUCACCCUGCAGAUGAUUUUGUGUCUAUGUCUGCUCCUGACAUUUCAAAUACCAACUCAGGAACUGUUAAGAAAAUCAUGACAGGAAACCACGGAGGAGAUGCUGUCAUCAAGACCGAAGAACCGUUGCUCCAAGUAGAAGAUGACAGCAGCAAAGGACAGGAACCCAAUGAAACCAGUCAAUAUUUGAAACCUCCUUCUCGCCCAUCUCCAGAGUCUUCAGAAAGUGACUGGGAGACCUUGGAUCCUAGCAUCUUAGAGGACCCUACCUUGAAAGAAAGGGAACAGGGUUCAGAACAGACAAACUCAUUUCCAAAGGAGUCUGUGCCCUCAGACAGUCCUCCAAUUACUGUACAACCUCAAGCUAAUACAGGCCAGGUGGUACUGAUACCAGGGCUAAUUUCUGGUUUGGAAGAAGACCAAUAUGGCAUGCCCCUGGCCAUCUUCACAAAGGGAUAUCUGUGUUUGCCUUACAUGGCAUUGCAGCAGCAUCAUCUUCUCUCUGAUGUCACCGUCCGUGGAUUCGUUGCUGGGGCUACUAACAUCCUUUUCCGCCAGCAGAAGCACCUCAGUGAUGCCAUUGUGGAGGUAGAAGAAGCUCUGAUCCAGAUCCAUGAUCCAGAACUCAGGAAGCUGCUUAACCCAACCACUGCAGACCUCAGGUUCGCAGAUUACCUAGUGAGACACGUGACGGAGAACCGGGAUGAUGUCUUCCUGGAUGGCACAGGCUGGGAGGGAGGUGACGAGUGGAUCCGAGCCCAGUUUGCAGUCUACAUCCACGCACUCCUGGCUGCCACACUGCAGUUAGAUAAUGAAAAGAUUUUAUCGGACUAUGGGACAACCUUUGUUACAGCAUGGAAGAAUACUCACAACUACAGGGUGUGGAACAGCAACAAGCAUCCGGCACUUGCAGAAAUAAAUCCGAAUUGCUCCGGCUCAACCGCAAUCCUGAAGCAAAUGAUCCUUUUCGUGACACGUCAUCAGAAGGUCGCUAGUAACCUAACGCUACAUCACAGUAAAUGCCCUUCACCUCCCUUCAUCUCAUCACUAGGCAUUUUACCAUCCCACAUCAUCACAAGAAGAGGAAGGCCAUCCUUUUCAAGGCCAGUACUCCGUGUCAGACAUGAAGUUAAGAUUCUCACAUUCUGUUCAAAACAGUGAACGUGGCAAAAAAAUUGGAAACGUCAUGGUCACAACCAGCCGAAAUGUUGUACAAACAGGAAAAGCUGUUGGCCAGUCAGUUGGAGGAGCCUUUUCCAGUGCGAAGACAGCUAUGUCUUCGUGGCUUUCUACUUUCACCAGUCCCGCCCCCCAAAGUCUCACUGAGCCCCCGGAUGGGAAGCCCUGAGCAAGGCGUCCAGAGGCUACUGUCGCUUCCUUAGGUUUAAAUGUCUCCCGUCUGUCUGCUGCUCCCAGACUGUUCUCUUCAUCGGCCACAGGUCCACAGCAGGGGACCAGGAUGUUGAACUGUUUACAGGGACGGUUGUCCUCUGUCUAAUUGAAUGUCGCAGGAUGCUGGAAAGAUGAAAUCGCAGCCAUAGCAGGGAUGGCUUUCCAGGUUGGGGUUUAAAUUGACUACUUUUAUUUCAGUCUGAGCCUGAUUAAAACACAGUGAAACUUCUAAUGAAUUUUCAGUUCUGAUAGUGUACAUUUGUUUACUUUAGACAAGUUUUUACUUAUGUAAAUUUUGUUCUCUUUUCCUGUUUGAAUAUCCAGAUGGCCACUGUCAUUUAUAUGUGCUAAAAUUAAGUUAUAUUACUAUUCUGAUUUCUCUCAAGUUGGCCCUAAAAUGUGCUUAUAAAGUUAAGGGGCCAUACAAUCCAGCCCUUUGUUAUUACUUUGCUGAGUUAUAUGAUGAUUUUUUUUUGUUGGUUUUCUGCCCACAAAAUAUAUUUAUCAGUUCACUUCCUCCCAGAAACAUGAAAACCAGAGGUGGUAGUUCUGAGGAUGGAGUGUUUUGUUUCAUGUUUUUAAUUUAUUCUUUCCCAGUCCUAAACACUUGCUCUGAGAUGUCAAGGAGUGUCACUGUACUUUCUUCCUCUUCCCAACUGUGCAGGUGGGUGUGCAGAGAAAUAGCAUGGUGCAAUGGUGUUCAAGCAGGUUAAUAUGAGUGUAUUUACAGCGGAGACUCUGGAAGACCUCGGUGUUAGUUCUGUCAACCCUAAUUAUGUUGCAGUCUUCUACAAGCAUUUUUUAACCCACAGUUUGUGCCUUCUGUUUCUUCUUUUGAACCGUUUUCCCUGGGAGUUUACAGAUGUACAGGUUUUUCUCUUAGUCUUAUUUUUCAUACAGCUUUUCAAGGCGUUCGGCCUUCCCACUCCCCGAUGGAAAAUCCUUCUGUAAUCAAUCCCUACCCCCUUAUGAAAGAAAAACAAGAUGAUCCAUAAAUAUUAAGUAGAAAUCUCAUCUUUGCUCACAUUUAGAAAACCAAGAAAGAGAAGAAAAACACAGCCACAGUUUUCACAAAGGACCUCUGGUUUCACUUUAGAUACAUGCGUGUGUGUGCUAUCUGCUGAAGAUAUUUACACAACGGGACCUCCUGUAUCUCCUGUGCUCAGCUCUCAUUUGCUUUUCAAGGGGACUUUGGAUGGGUGUUCUCAGGGAGUACUUAAUAGGGGACAAACUGCUUGUUCAGUAACCAAGGACACUUGGAAAAUACAUUGUGAGUAUGAUCUACAUAUGAUAAGAGUAUUGGGAAAACAUUUAAUUAAGGAGAACACUUGAUUAUAUUUGAUUUAUCCCUUAAGAAUGGGACACCUGGCUGGCUCAGUUGGUAGAUCAUGUGACUCUUGAUCUCAGGGUCAUGAGUUCAAGCCCACAUUGGAUGUGUAGCCUACUUAAAAAAAUAAAAUCUUUUUUAAAAAUUAAGUGUUUACUUAAGUAAAUUUUUCUAGAGCAUGUGGAAUGGACAUAGGGAUGUAAUGCUAAAUAUCUCUAAAUUUUCCAAUUUGUGUUUUAACGCAAGUCCAGCAAAUCUGAAAGUGUAUUUCCAUUUGAGACAAUAACUCAGAAAUUCAGUGAUCAUCAGUGAAAGGGCUUAUGGUGAGAACUCUCUUAAUUCCACUUCUGCUGGGAAACAGCCUUCUCAGGAAAUACUAUUUGAAGAGAAGAAAAUAAUACCAAACAAAACCUUAAAAGGUACUUUAAUCAGUGUUGCACUUAAAGAAUUCAUUCUAACAUCUUGUUUCAUGAGGCCACAUCAUUAGUUGGAGUGUCAUAGUGUGGUUGUGCAGUUGGUGUUGGUGUGCAGUUGUUCCCUCUCACCUGCCCAAAGUUCACAGAGCUGAGAGCACCGCGACCGGUGAGCCAGCACACUGCCGGCCCGUCCUCCACUUUGGAUGGUGUGAGGGCUUAGGGUAAACUCCCAUCUCUCACAAAAGCAGGCCAGUCCACAUUUUGAUACCUCACUGAAAUAAAAGUAGUUUAACUUUACUUUAGGAUCACUUGUUCCCCAUUUUUAUAUAUACUUUUAAUGAACUUUCUGUUAAUGUUUCUGAUUAAGAGUUCAACUCUUAAGGUGGUUAUUUAACUGGCUUUCAACAUAAAUUGAAUAUCUCAAAAGAUAGAACUUUUGUUGGAGAAGUAGUCAAAAAACCGAACCAUAUUUCCUUCAGGUUCUAGGAGGCAUUGGAGUUUCAGGGAGCAUAAGCUAAUGUGUUGUUGGCAGGGGUCCGGGGGCAGCCAGCACACUUGAUGUCAGGAAGCCUGGCCCUUGUCUCAUGAGCCUGCGUGCUUGUCCGUUGGAUUCCAGGUGUCAGCUAAGUGGCCAACCCCAGAGGCUGUAGCCUCCUUGGCUCUUUGAGCGAUGGGAGCCAACCUUAGGCCAUCUUUGGACAUCUCAGUAGUAAAGGUGGAUGUUUCGUUGGGCCAUACUUGCUCCAGUGCUUUUCUGUCUAAGAAUUGAGUAUUUGUAAGUAGGCCUGAGGGAGUUAGGGUCAGCCAAGCUUUUCCAGGCUGUGCCAGGCACAUGGACUGCAACUAUAACUUGCUGGUGGUCUCACUACCAUCUAGGUAAGUCAAAGGAGUGCCGGCAGUAAGUCCCUGGCAUUAUUUAGUUCCUACUAAGGCAUUGUAAUGACAGUUUACAUAGGGAAGGAAAAGAGUUAAGUCUACCAACCGCCUGUCAUGGGCUAAGUGAAUAGAAAAAGUUGCAUGUCAGAGUGAGUCAUAGUUACCUUGAGUAUGCAUUUGACUCUUGUAACCAGGGUGAGUAGCCUGUCCCCAAAUCCACUAGUGUUGUGCUAGCGCCCAGGCUCUAAAACAAUCUUUGUCUACUUUUUGCUCUAAGAAACAGUGGAAAUAUACACGGGCAGCGAACCAGAGCAAAUGACGUGAUUUCCUCAACGUUAUCUUGCUUUAUGAGUUCUAUAUUAAGCAUUGCUUUUUUUUUUUUUAAAGAAUAAUUUACUUUAGAAAGGCAAGGAGAAAGCAUAUUAGAAGGGAGACAAGUAGACAAGUUAGAAGUUGCAAGGCUGAGAAACAAGUUACUUAAAAUCUGAAUGAAGGUAUUUUUGAGAGCAGUAUUUAAUGUGCUAAAGGUUAUAAGAAUUAUUUUACAAAGAAGUUAGAAUUUUAAUCUACUAACUACAGGUUUUUAAAUGAAGCUAUAACAUUAUCUCCCUGACCGGCAGGUUUUGUUCUUUCUUUGUUUUGUGGAAGUUACAGCCAGCCAGUGGUUUUUUUUUCCCCCCCCUCUGGGCCUCAUGAUGAGUUGGGGAGCAGUCAGCUCUGUGAGGGGCAGUGAGCUGAUCUUGAACUGCAUGAACUUUUAUCUGUGUCAGCAGUUUGGGGAAGUAGCCUUUUAGAAUGGUAGCUGCUAAAUAUCACCCACGUUUCAUUGGGCAGUUGGUUGGGACUCUUGAAAUGACAUCACCAUUUGCAUGCUCUGAUUCUUUGACCAGAGGUGGCACAGCAUUUAUGGCCUUUCCACCCAAAUCAGUGGUAGCCUCUGAGGCUGACAGGGAGCGCAGUCCCAGCUUCUAGAAGAUGAUUGUCCUUCCACACGACACGGCAUGCCACUAAGAGUUUUUCAUUCCAGGUCUUUGGACUUCAUGACAUUGGAAUUGUUUUGUCAUAAUUUCUAACAUUCCAUAAAUACUUGUCAAGGACAAAGAAAAGGAAUGUGGACCUUUAUUCUUUUCGUAUAAAUAACUUUGUACACAUAACUUCCUGCUUUCCUAUGAAGGGGAAGAAAUUAGCUCCUCCCUUGUGUGGUAACUCCAGAAUUAAACAAUUGUGCACGUAGAGGGAUUGAGUAUAUUUUGUAAAACUCUAAUGAUUUGUAUUUCUGUGCUGUUCUGAACUUUACCUUUUUACUUAUAUUAAUUAAAGAUAUAGAAACUAUAUAUUUAAAUCAUGUAAAUGGGAUACAAUUUAGGGGUUUUUUUCCAGUCUUAUUUUUCAUCAGCUUCUCACAUACACAUAGUAUGCUGCUCAAAUUUUUUCGUGUGCAAUAUAAACAUUUGAACAUUUCAGUCAGGUACUGAGCCAGAAAAGGUAAUUGAAGUUUUUUAAGAAAGCUUCUGAGCUUAGAAAAUAUUUGUUUUCUUGAAAUAUUAAUUUAUAGCUGGAAAAAACGGGAUCAAGACUUAUAUGUUUCAGGCCACUUGGUCAUUGUUUCCUAAGUUUAAGAAGCAUUUGAUUAAGAAGUUGGUGAAGGCAUUUAGUGGUCACAAAAACAGUUAAACAUUUGAGAUUAAAGGCUUCCCACAAACCCUCUCUAAGAAAGUUUAGCUAAGAAAUCUUAGAAACUUUUCUGAGAAGGUUUAGCUAUGGCACAUGUUUUGAUCAGAAAAAUAGUUCCUCUUUGCUCCAGUAGUUUUUGUAAUUUGUACUAGUUGUUUCUGUUGUCAUUUGUUUAAAAAAAAUGUUAAAAUUAUAAAUCACGUCUAAUCAUAGUGAAUUGUAAAACUUCUACUGUAUCUUUAUUUUAAGGAAAAAUAAGAAUAAAAUUAUCCUGUUUGUCCUGCA
Molecule: RNA transcript, 6983 nt
Organism: Mustela lutreola (European mink)
Lineage: Eukaryota; Metazoa; Chordata; Mammalia; Carnivora; Mustelidae
Gene: AVL9
Gene name: AVL9 cell migration associated
Exons: 17
Source: RefSeq, a predicted model, not a curated record